Long non-coding RNA from Triticum dicoccoides, 5557 nucleotides. RefSeq lists it as uncharacterized. The record is from RefSeq and is a predicted model, not a curated record. Lineage: Eukaryota; Viridiplantae; Streptophyta; Magnoliopsida; Poales; Poaceae. The transcript has 5 exons.
AUAGCAUGAGCAGCGGGUUUCGGCGGCCGCGGUCGGCGCUGCCGUCGUGUCUAGUGCGCGCCCCUCUGACCGGCGCCAUGAGAGCGGCUUCGCCGGUGGAUCUCAUGGAUAGUGCGUGCAUCAUUAACCUUCUAUAGUCCUCCACGGCGAAUCGCAUCACAUCGCCGGCCGGAGCGCCGGCCAUCUGGCCGUUCCCCUUUGCUGUGCGGUACGCCGUCUCGGCCGAAGCUGCAAUCUCCUCCGGCGCCCGCGUUGCUGAGCGGAGUUUCCUCAUGCAGCAGCAGCGGCGGCAACUCCUAUCCAUCUACCAAAGAAAGUGGCAUUAUCUUAUCCAUUCAGUAUGUAUCUUUUCCUCUUUACUGUGUGUUUGCACGAACAGGUGCAUAUCUCCCUUUGCCUUACCAUUUCCUCUUUGUAUUAAAUAAAUUUGAGCAGCGUAUGUUUGCAUCUUGCUGUAAAGUGUACUUGAGAGACGAUGGUAGAGGAGCCAUCAAGGAAAUUGCUGGCAGAUGCAGCUACAAAAUUACUUGUUCCAGUAUUUUCUAUUAUUUGUGAAAUUGGAUAUGACUGGUGGUAGGCUAUGUAAGAAAGAAAUUUUAUAGUAAUUGAGAAAAUGAUCUUGGUUCUUCAAUGGCUCUGUAACUUUAGAGCCACGUCCCUAAUGCAUAAAUAUAUAACUGGUAUUGAUCUUGUCAAAUCAGUUGUUAGCCCUUGCUUGCAUAUUUUUGUUUACCUGUAAAUGCAGAGAGAAGUACCUUGCUGAAAAAUAUAAUAUUUCAGAGAUAACCAUUUAAAACAAUUUUAAAAACCAAUUUAAAACAGUUAAGGCUGCUAUGUCUUUCCAGAAAAAAAAGGCUGCUAUGUCUGGAACACAUUAUAUUUGGUCAUUUAAGAAUGUUUGUAUUUGUUCUUAACUUCUAAUUCUAGUUAUUAAAAAAAUAUCUAUCAUAUAUCCUUGUAAACAAUGUUUUUUGCAACCUUGUCGGAUGGACGCUCUUCAUCUGAUAUAAGUAUCCGCAAUCCAUUUCUGCUGGUAACCCUUGACAUUGCAACAUAGAGUUGGCCAUGUGUGAACACUUGCCUUUCUAAGUAGAGUCCAACCUUUUUGAGAGAUUGCCCCUGACUUUUGUUUAUUGUCAUAGCAAAGCACACUGAUAUUGGGUAUUGUCUCCUUUUCAGAAUGAAAGGCCAUUUUGAAUCACUUGGUGAGAUAAUAAUUCGUGGGAUGUAAACUUUGUCACCAAUGAAUUUGACUCAUGAUGUAGGUGUUAAUCUGGUCAACAGUCUCGUUCCUUGGGCACAGGAUCGCUCUUUCCUCUAGGUCUUCUGGGAUGCUAACCCAGUCUUCAUCAUCUAUUGUUGCUGUUGUGCCAUCGCCGAUGUUUAGUAUCCAGUUUGCAAAUUCAGCUGUCUUUGCUUUCUCUUCUGGUCUACCUUCGGAUGAAUUCAGACGCAUAUUUUCUGAUUUGUCUGAAGUCACCUCCCAAGACUACUGUCAUUCCUCCAAACGGUCUAUGCUCGGCAUCCUCAUUUGUGAAUCGAAGAUCAGUCACCUUGCAAAAUAAAAGUAUUGUGCAGAAAAGUUGGCGCAUUUGAGGAGCAGAGGCCCAAUGGGAUGCUUCCUUGAUGCAGUCAUCCCACUCCUUGUCGUCAUUAAGUAGCCCAAGAGCAUAACAUGCAGAUUUGUAUGUUGGAUGUACAACCCCAUCAACUGUUCGGGUUUCUUCAUAGGAUCUGCAUCCUUUCACGGUAUUUAGAAGCAUUCUCAAGUAGUAUUUUUCACCGCUUGUUGGUUGUGCAUAGUAAAUCCUGCCUAUUGUUUUUUUACCACCACGUCUUUUCCUCCAUUCUUUCUCUUUUGCAUGCCAAGUCCAUUUGGUUGGAAACUGUGCAUACGUCAAACUGCGAGCUUCCUCAUGCAAUUGGUUGGCUGUCAUCCAUUCUGUGAACAUUGUCUUUUCUAUGUUAGGCCGAGAUAUGAUUUUAUCUAAAUCCAUCGAGUCUGGGAAUACCACAACAUGUUCAUUUUCUAGGUGAAAUUGUAACCUUUCAACCGCAGGCUCUCUAUACUGAAGAGGAAACUGAAAUAUGUACCAUGCGGCUUCACAUCCAGAUAUGUACCGAGCAUCAAGGUAUCUCUUGAUAUCGUCGUCCCUGUUUGUUAAUUUGACACCUCUUGUUUCUCUUUGUUGCUCUUCUGUUUCUAUUAAUACAGUUGUUCGAUCUUCUCCUUUGUGGAUGUAUUUGAAUAAAUACUUUAUAGACCUUGAUCUGUUGCACCAUUCAACAUUUAUGUGGGCUUGAUACUUGACCAGUAUGUUUCUAUUGUAUGGCACAACAAAUCUAUUGUCUAGCUUCACUCCGUUUUUGUCCACAGUAUUGCCAUCAUCUCGUCUUCUAUAUACUGGAUAGUUAUCUUCAUCUAUUGUAGUUUCAGUGCAAAAACUCUUGGGGAAAUGUUUGGCACAACUUUUAUCGACCAUGCAUGGUGAUUUUGGGUGUGCUUGACCACAGGGACCAUGUAUCAUGUAAUUUUGCACUGCUUCAUACCCAUCUGGAUCACUAUUCUUGUCGGGAAUUUCGGCUGAUAUGAUUUUGUCGAUCUGGGAAGGACUGGGAUCUUUAUCAUCUGGAUGUAGAAACACCAGUAUAUGUGCAUGAGGGAGGCCUCUUUUUUGGAACUCUAUCGUGUAGACAACUGCAUGCAAGUAAAGAAAUUUGAGAAGAAAUGAUUUAGGACAAUCACCUAGGCAAUAGUAAAUCUGUAGUUGGUUGGUAAAGUUACUCGCAAUUGUUUGUCCGAAACACUUCUUGUUCUUUAUGUCAUUCAUAAGUUCCUUCAGUUUUAACAUGAAUACUCUGGCAACAAUGUCUGGACAAUCUUCAGGUUUCUGGCCUGGAAUUAGAUCCAACAUAUCCUGUAUUUCCGGCCAUUUCGGAUUGCAUGUAAAAGUGAUGAAGAGAUCAGGAUAGCCAGCCCAACGACAAAUCGCCAUGGCAUCUUGGUAGUUUUGCUGCUUAUUUCUAGGGCUACCAUUAUAUGUUGAGGGUAGUAUGAUUCUUUGGCCAACUUGUUCAGUUCGUGUAUCUCCAUUUUCUAUUGCAUCAUGCAGUCCUCUGUAUAGUUCUGUCCUCAGCUUACCUUGGUUUGUGCUGUACCAAUUUAGUUUCCAUUGUUCAAUGCACGUUGCUGCAUCAACUAAGAACUGUAGGAACAAGUGUCCACUCAUUUGCAAGGUUGUUGCUUGGUUAAGACGUUGUUGGAUGCGAUAUGCAUAAAACUCCAGCAUUGUUACAUACUUUCUCUUACCUUUGUCGCCUCUCUUUUUUUGAUACUCUAUUUCUGGUCUGAACCCAUCUUCUCCAUAUGGAAAAAGCAAGGGGUAUUUCAUUGACAUAUAGCUUGGGUGCAACUCCGAAAUCCUCUGUAACAUUCUGUCUUUGGUCUCAAUUAUUAUAUCAAAUUCAUCAUUUUCUCCAUCUUGUUCCCCGAUAAUUAGUGCUGCAACUUCUGAGGCAGAUGGGAGGUUGUAUUGUCGUCCAUCUUUCGACCUUUUGUUGAUCAAUCUUAGUCUUACAUCUUUAAUAUCUCGGUUUUUGAACCUGUCCCUUGCCAUACGAAACGAUUUGACUAAAACAUUGUGCUCAUCUAGCAUCUCUAGUAGACCUUUGACAAUGUUUUCAUCUGGCUUUGCCUUACUCUCCAUUGAAGUUGAUGCAGUAAUCCUGUUACGCACUUCAUUUUCUGUGUCAUGUAUGUACAAUUGGGCAAAUUUUGGUUUCGUCAUGUCAUCUUUAGGAAGUAAAGUGCCAAUGUGAUGGUUGUUUUGGCCAUUCAAACGGAAAACAUAUGGUCCAGGUGUCUGCUUAUUAAUUUCAUAGUCAACCUUUCCUCCCAUUGAAGUGAACGCGAACAUGGAGUUGUACAACCUGAUGUUCUGGCGAAAAUUGGAUGACUCUCCUCUUUCAUUGUAACGUAGUAGCUGUCGGAGAUACAACGGAGCUUGCUUCAGUGGUGGUAAUUUAAUUUUCCCUUCCUUGCAGCAGAGACCAAAUUUUGGAACUGUGAUGUUACGUGUGUUUGUGCUUCUCUCUCCAUGCCACAUAAUGGCAUUGCAAAAUUCACAAACGCAAUUUGGUUUUCCCAAAUUUGAAACUUGAGUGACAUCCUUUGCUAUAUUUGAUACUUCACAGCCAUUAUAGUCCUUUUCUGUCCUUAUUCGUUUCUUUUCCCUUUUCAGCUGGAGUAUCUCUUUCCUUUUUCGUCUAGCUUCCUUCCUUGCUGCUCUGAUAAUAUCUAAUUGACUAUCAUUAGAUUCUACUGUCGCAAGCUGUGAGGUUCCUUGCUUAGGUAUUUGUAUUGUUUGAUCACCCAAUAUAUUGCUGUAUUAUAUUUUGGUAUCAUUUGAAUAAUCCAGGAAAAUUAAUGGCUAUAUAAUUAUUUUUUGGUAUUGGGGUAAUGAAUACCUUCUAUUGUUUUGAUUUGGUCCACGUUACUUCGACGCAAGUUGAGUGCAGCUAGUGAAUCCUGAAAUGAGGGAAAAAUUGUAACGCUUUGUUUGAGAGCAACAACAUGCAGAUAGAAUUAAGUAUAUGGAAGUUAGCAGUAUUUCCUUUCUGGAGGCAAAGAUCUGGCAUUUAACCUUGACUGUAGAAAUUAAAAUCUAUUCCUCAUUGGGAACAUCGCAACAAAAAUUAAGUACAUGCUAGUGAGGACAUCUUAUAAGCACCUGAUUCCUUUUCUGCUGAAGUAUUUCUUUCCUUUUCCGUGCAGCAUCCUUCAUUGCUGCUCUAAUGAUGUCUGGUUGAUUAUCAUUAGAUUGUAGAGUGGCAAGUUUGGAGGUUGCUUUGUCAGGUCUUUCAUUGCUACAUUAGAUUUUGGUGCCAUUUUAAUAAUCUAGGUAAAUUAAUGGGUAUAAAAUUGUUUUUAUAUUGUGGUAACGAAUACCUAUUGUUGUUUUUGUCGAGUCCAUUGCGAGUUCGACGCAUGCUGACUGCAGGUAGUUAAUCCUGAAAAAUAUGAGGGAAAAUGUAAGGAUUUUGUCCAAGAACAACAACAUGCAAAGAGUAUCAAGUAUUUUGAUAGUUGACCCAUGCACUUGGAUGGGCUAUUAUCAUAUUGAUAGUCGAAAUCCAAUCAUAUUUAACUUUCUAAGAAUUUUAUUCCUCAUCAGGGUUAUCACAAAGUAUGUAAGCAGUAAAUGAUAGUGAGGACAUCUUGUAAGCACCUUAUUUUACUUGUCCGGAAAUUCUUAGUUGCUGACGAUAAGUUUAAUGUAUACAUGUCAGGUACCACAUUGUUUUGAAGGAUGUUGUCUGGAUCAAUCAGUUUCCUGGAAAUAUUCCUGUUCUCCUACUGAUAGUAUGCCAACAAAGAAUUGUAGAUCAUGUACAUGUGUUAUUACCUUUUAAGCAGAGGACAUACUAUAUGGUUUGUAAUUGGCAAACUAAUUUUGAUGUUUGUUCAUCAAUUUCUCUGUAGUUGCAAUUAACAAAGCAUAUGUGAUGAGAUUACGGAGUUGAUGCAUAUAAUAGUGGAAGUUGGUAAUGAAUACCU